Bos indicus x Bos taurus (hybrid cattle) is the source of this 1539-nucleotide long non-coding RNA. Lineage: Eukaryota; Metazoa; Chordata; Mammalia; Artiodactyla; Bovidae. The record is from Ensembl.
CUGAGGGCCUUUCAAAAGUCUUUUCUUUCUGUAAAAGGAAAUGAGGCCAAAGUCAGCAACCAGAGUAGACUCAAAUUUAUAAAAGCUAUCUAGAUUCUACCUCAGGAAUGUGAAGGAAAUUUAGGUCUCCCUUAAGCAACGUCUUUUUAUCCAAUUUGCUUUAAAAAAAAAAAAAAAAGCUGUUUUGUGUUUGGGGUUACCAUCCCUUUUCUGUUAUUUUUGAAAAAUCUGCUGCUUUAAAAAUAAAAGCCUAGUAUAUGGAAUAUCAGAAGUGAUGACUGUUUUAAACAAAGAAGCCCUUUUCUCCAUCCUCUGUCGCAGGCCUCUGCACAUGGGCGUGAGACCAACCUGCUCUUUGGACCUCAGAAUGAGUGAGCACACUCGGGCGUGAUCAGCCUGCCCUUUAUCCCUCCGAGAUCGAGGUGUUCCUCCAUCCAGCCCAGGAGGCCAGCAAACCAUUGUGCAAUCUGUUCCACCCACACAGGCCCUAUGGGAUUGCUACACUGCCUUUUGCUUUUAUUAGAAGGGAAAAAUCAAUCCUCCUAAAUGUGACCUUGGCUGUUCCCAGUGAAGAUGGCGGCCCAAAUGUUGCAUUUGCUGGCUUCAAGAAGGGCUUGUGUUGCCAAAAUCAAGCAUAACUUGCCGGUUUGGAUUUCAGAAAGCCCAAGCUAUUGAGCUGUCUGUUGAGGGCAGGGGGUGAAGUGAAAGAUGAGCACCUUGGAAAAAGCAGAGGGGAAGAAGCUGUGAGAGUUAAGGAGAGAGAUUUUACUCCUCAAGCUUGAAAAAGGAAGAAGACUUGGGGAUGAGCGGUAGUGAGGCGAGAUGAACACCCUGUCUCAAAUGUUGUAAGAAUCAGUUGAAACUUGCUACACUACAGAGGGAGGGUAAGACUCAUAGGAGCCUGCAUCUUAGGUGUUCUUGGGGAGGCCAGGGUACCUCGAUGAGAAGCCCAGCUUGGUGCAAGCUUGGUUCUCUAUGUGCUCAAGGAACAAAUGUUCUCUCCAAAGGUAUUGGAUGAUCUAAGACCUCAAGGACCUUUAUGAUGGCCUGGGAUGUGUGGCAGAGGGGGACUCAUCGUAACAUUAAAGUUACCACUAACCCGGUGGGAUGUGGAGUAGAAUACAUUUGAUUUAAAGAAAUGAAAUGAGUCAGACAUUUCUUCCAUCUCAUGGAAUAAGAUCUUUUCAUCAGUAACUCACAGCUAGGACUUCCCUGGUGGUCCAGUGGUUACGCAUCAUCCUGCCAACACAAAGGACAAGGGUUUGAUACCUGGUCUGGGAAGAUUCCGCGUGCCCCAGGGCAACUAAGCCUGUGUAUCUCAACCACUGAGCCGAUGAGCCACAACUACUGAAGUCCAAGUGUUCUAGAGCCCCUGCUCUGCAACUAGAGAGUGGGCCCCGCUUGUUACCACAGAGGAAGCCCUCAUGCAGCAGCAAAGCCCUAGCACAAUCAAAGGGAAAUCAAUUUAAUUAAUUAAUUAAUUAAUUUAAAAAAUAUCUCACAGCCAGUAAAGGGACAAGACCAUUCUUUAUACAUUCC